AUUGAACGCUGGCGGCAGGCCUAACACAUGCAAGUCGAGCAGAUGAAGGGAGCUUGCUCCUGGAUUCAGCGGCGGACGGGUGAGUAAUGCCUAGGAAUCUGCCUGGUAGUGGGGGAUAACGUCCGGAAACGGGCGCUAAUACCGCAUACGUCCUGAGGGAGAAAGUGGGGGAUCUUCGGACCUCACGCUAUCAGAUGAGCCUAGGUCGGAUCAGCUAGUUGGUGGGGUAAAGGCCUACCAAGGCGACGAUCCGUAACUGGUCUGAGAGGAUGAUCAGUCACACUGGAACUGAGACACGGUCCAGACUCCUACGGGAGGCAGCAGUGGGGAAUAUUGGACAAUGGGCGAAAGCCUGAUCCAGCCAUGCCGCGUGUGUGAAGAAGGUCUUCGGAUUGUAAAGCACUUUAAGUUGGGAGGAAGGGCAGUAAGUUAAUACCUUGCUGUUUUGACGUUACCAACAGAAUAAGCACCGGCUAACUUCGUG
Molecule: ribosomal RNA, 484 nt
Filed under: uncultured bacterium
Lineage: Bacteria
Description: partial 16S ribosomal RNA
Rfam family: Bacterial small subunit ribosomal RNA
Source: RNAcentral